This 2922-nucleotide ribosomal RNA is filed under the name Lactiplantibacillus plantarum. RNAcentral describes it as "Lactobacillus plantarum 23S ribosomal RNA". It matches the Rfam family "Bacterial large subunit ribosomal RNA". Lineage: Bacteria; Bacillati; Bacillota; Bacilli; Lactobacillales; Lactobacillaceae. The record is from RNAcentral.
AGGUUAAGUUAACAAGGGCGCAUGGUGAAUGCCUUGGCACUAGGAGCCGAUGAAGGACGGGACUAACACCGAUAUGCUUCGGGGAGCUGUACGUAAGCUAUGAUCCGGAGAUUUCCGAAUGGGGCAACCCAGCAGUUUUAAUCAACUGUUACCACUAGAUGAAUUCAUAGUCUAGUUGGAGGUAAACGCUGUGAACUGAAACAUCUCAUUAGCAGCAGGAAUAUAAAGAAAUUUCGAUUCCCUAAGUAGCGGCGAGCGAACGGGGAACAGCCCAAACCAAAGUGCUUGCACUUUGGGGUUGUAGGACUGAACAUUUGAGUUACCAAAGAACUUGAUAGUCGAAGGAUUUGGGAAAAUCCGCCAUAGAUGGUGAUAGCCCAGUAGAUUAAAUCAAAUUCUCUCAGUUCAGGAUCCUGAGUACGGCGGAACACGUGAAAUUCCGUCGGAAUCCGGGAGGACCAUCUCCCAAGGCUAAAUACUACCUAGUGACCGAUAGUGAACCAGUACCGUGAGGGAAAGGUGAAAAGCACCCCGGGAGGGGAGUGAAAUAGUUCCUGAAACCAUGUGCCUACAAUAAGUCAGAGCGCGUUAAUGCGUGAUGGCGUGCCUUUUGUAGAAUGAACCGGCGAGUUAUGAUCCCGUGCAAGGUUAAGACUAAAAAGUCGGAGCCGUAGCGAAAGCGAGUCUGAAAUGGGCGUUUUGAGUACGAGGUUAUAGACCCGAAACCAGGUGACCUAUCCAUGUCCAGGUUGAAGGUGCGGUAAAACGCACUGGAGGACCGAACCCGUGUAAGUUGAAAAUUGCUGGGAUGAGGUGUGGAUAGCGGUGAAAUUCCAAACGAACUUGGAGAUAGCUGGUUCUCUCCGAAAUAGCUUUAGGGCUAGCCUCGGAAUUAGGAUCAUGGAGGUAGAGCACUAUUUGGACUAGGGGCCCGUCUUGGGUUACUGAAUUCAGAUAAACUCCGAAUGCCAUUGAUUCAUAUCCGGGAGUCAGACGAUGAGUGAUAAGAUCCACCGUCGAAAGGGGAACAGCCCAGACCAUCAGUUAAGGUCCCUAAAUGUAUGCUAAGUGGAAAAGGAUGUGGAGUUGCAUAGACAACUAGGAUGUUGGCUCAGAAGCAGCCACCAUUUAAAGAGUGCGUAAUAGCUCACUAGUCGAGUGAUCCUGCGCCGAAAAUGUACCGGGGCUAAGCAUACUACCGAAACCAUGGAUGCGACCAUUAGGUCGCGUGAUAGGAGAGCGUUCUAAGGGCGGUGAAGCAAGAUCGUGAGGACUUGUGGAGCGCUUAGAAGUGAGAAUGCCGGUAUGAGUAGCGAAAGAUAGGUGAGAAUCCUAUCCACCGAAUGACUAAGGUUUCCUGGGGAAGGCUCGUCCUCCCAGGGUUAGUCGGGACCUAAGUCGAGGCCGAGAGGCGUAGACGAUGGAUAACAGGUUGAGAUUCCUGUACUAGUUAAGUGCGUUUGAGCAAUGGAGGGACGCAGGAGGCUAAGAUGUGCAUUCUGUUGGAUUAGAAUGUCCAAGCAGUAAGUCUUGUGAAGAGUCAAAUGCUUUUCACUUUAAGGACAAGCUGUGAUGGGGAGCGAAAUUUAGUAGCGAAGCGUCUGAUGUCACACUGCCGAGAAAAGCUUCUAGUGAGUACUUAACUACCCGUACCGCAAACCGACACAGGUAGUCGAGGAGAGAAUCCUAAGGUGAGCGAGUGAACUCUCGUUAAGGAACUCGGCAAAAUGACCCCGUAACUUCGGGAGAAGGGAGGCGGAUCGCAAGAUCGGCCGCAGAAUAGGCCCAGGCGGCUGUUUAUCAAAGACACAGGGCUCUGCAGAAACGUUAGAAGACGUAUAGGGGCUGGCGCCUGCCCGGUGCUGGAAGGUUAAAAGGAUGGGUUAGCUUCGGCGAGAGCUCAGAAUUGAAGCCCCAGUAAACGGCGGCCGUAACUAUAACGGUCCUAAGGUAGCGAAAUUCCUUGUCGGGUAAGUUCCGACCCGCACGAAAGGCGUAACGAUCUGGGCACUGUCUCAACGAGAGACUCGGUGAAAUUAUAUUGUCCGUGAAGAUGCGGACUACCCGCGACAGGACGGAAAGACCCCAUGGAGCUUUACUGUAGCUUGAUAUUGAGUGUUUGUACAGCUUGUACAGGAUAGGUAGGAGCCAUAGAAACCGGAACGCUAGUUUCGGUGGAGGCGUUGGUGGGAUACUACCCUCGCUGUAUGACCACUCUAACCCGCACCACUAAUCGUGGUGGGAGACAGUGUCAGGUGGGCAGUUUGACUGGGGCGGUCGCCUCCUAAAAAGUAACGGAGGCGCCCAAAGGUUCCCUCAGAAUGGUUGGAAAUCAUUCGCAGAGUGUAAAGGCACAAGGGAGCUUGACUGCGAGACAGACAGGUCGAGCAGGGACGAAAGUCGGGCUUAGUGAUCCGGUGGUACCGUAUGGAAGGGCCAUCGCUCAACGGAUAAAAGCUACCCUGGGGAUAACAGGCUUAUCUCCCCCAAGAGUCCACAUCGACGGGGAGGUUUGGCACCUCGAUGUCGGCUCAUCGCAUCCUGGGGCUGUAGUCGGUCCCAAGGGUUGGGCUGUUCGCCCAUUAAAGCGGUACGCGAGCUGGGUUCAGAACGUCGUGAGACAGUUCGGUCCCUAUCCGUCGCGGGCGUAGGAAAUUUGAGAGGACCUGUCCUUAGUACGAGAGGACCGGGAUGGACAUACCUCUGGUGUACCAGUUGUGCCGCCAGGCGCAUCGCUGGGUAGCUACGUAUGGAUGUGAUAAACGCUGAAAGCAUCUAAGUGUGAAACACACCUCGAGAUGAGAUUUCCCAUUCCUUUAUGGAAGUAAGACCCCUGAAAGAUGAUCAGGUAGAUAGGUUAGAAGUGGCAGUGCGGUGACGCAUGAAGCGGACUAAUACUAAUCGGUCGAGGACUUAACCAAG